GGCAUCUUUGGAAUUAGAAGAAUUGAGGUAGAGGUGAUGAACCGAGGCAACUCCGCCCCACAGAAAAAAUUGAGUACCGCAUUGUAGACAUCUUGGGCGAUCACUUCCCAAGCAAAUGUAAAAAAUUUACCUAUGAACCCAUCUGGGCCAGCAGCACUUUCUCCAUCCAUUAACUUCACGAUUCCAUACACCUCGUCGAGCGAAG
Molecule: long non-coding RNA, 205 nt
Filed under: Coffea arabica (coffee)
Lineage: Eukaryota; Viridiplantae; Streptophyta; Magnoliopsida; Gentianales; Rubiaceae
Description: long non-coding RNA (CARA_LNC005669)
Source: RNAcentral